GACGAACGCUGGCGGCAUGCUUAACACAUGCAAGUCGAACGGAGUGGCGAACGGGUGAGUAACACGUGGGUGAUCUGCCUUGCACUUCGGGAUAAGCUUGGGAAACUGGGUCUAAUACCGGAUAGUGCAAGAUGAGCUCGCGGCCGAUCAGGUUGUUGGUGGGGUAAUGGCCUACCAAGGGGUCGACGGGUAGCCGGCCUGAGAGGGGGUACGGCCACAUUGGGACUGCGAGACGGCUCAGACGCCUACGGGAGGCAGCAGUGGGGAAUAUUGUACAAUGGGCGGAAGCCUGAUGCAGCGACGCUGGGUGGGUGAUGAAGGCCUUCGGGGUGUAAACUCCUUUCGACAGGGACGCGGUACCUGUAUAAGAAGCACCGGCUAACUACGUGCCAGCAGCCGCGGUAAUAC
RNAcentral lists this ribosomal RNA (408 nucleotides) under uncultured bacterium. RNAcentral's name for it is "partial 16S ribosomal RNA". It matches the Rfam family "Bacterial small subunit ribosomal RNA", at positions 28 to 526 of the family's 1533-position model. The record is from RNAcentral.